AGUGAACGCUGGCGGUAGGCCUAACACAUGCAAGUCGAACGGCAGCACAGUAAGAGCUUGCUCUUACGGGUGGCGAGUGGCGGACGGGUGAGUAAUACAUCGGAUUCUACUUUUUCGAGGGGGGUAAGGCAGGGGAACUUACGCUAACACUGAAUACGACCUACGGGUGAAUGCAGGGGAACUUCGGACCUUGCGCGAUUGCAUGAGCCGAUGUCGGAUUAGCUGGUAGGCGGGGGAAAGGCCAACCAAGGGGACGAUCCGUAGCUGGUCCGAGCGGAUGAUCAGCCGCACUGGAACUGAGCGACCGUCCAGAGUCCUACGGGAGGCAGCAGUGGGGAAUAUUGGCCAAUGGGCGAAAGUCUGCACCAGCCAUGCCGCGUGGGUUAAGAAGGCCCUCGGGUUGUGAGGCCCUUUUGUCUGGAGAUAAUAUAAGCAUGUUGACACGCCGUGUUCCGCACGAUACCCACGCAAUAACGACCGGCUAACUACGUG
This 492-nucleotide ribosomal RNA is filed under the name uncultured bacterium. RNAcentral describes it as "partial 16S ribosomal RNA". It matches the Rfam family "Bacterial small subunit ribosomal RNA", at positions 29 to 507 of the family's 1533-position model. The record is from RNAcentral.